RNAcentral lists this small nuclear RNA (107 nucleotides) under Patagioenas fasciata monilis. The record is from RNAcentral. Lineage: Eukaryota; Metazoa; Chordata; Aves; Columbiformes; Columbidae.
GUGCUCACUUCAGCAGCACAUAAACUGAAAUUGGAACCAUGUGGAGGAGAUCAGCAUGGCCCCUGCACAAAGACGACAUGCAAAUUCAUGGAAUAUUCCGUAUUUUA